Molecule: long non-coding RNA, 220 nt
Filed under: Ricinus communis (castor bean)
Lineage: Eukaryota; Viridiplantae; Streptophyta; Magnoliopsida; Malpighiales; Euphorbiaceae
Description: long non-coding RNA (RCOM_LNC001739)
Source: RNAcentral
AAGCAUAUAUCCACCAAUACAGAAGCUCUGAAUGGAGGUGCACAUAUCCUAUUUAAUGAGAUCCAAUAAGUUUGGAAAAAAUGACCUGUAAAGCCAUCAAACCCUAGCGCUUUAUCAGGAUGGAUUGAAAAUACAUCGUCUUAAAUCUCCUCUUCUAAGACAGGGCGAAUAAGAUCAACAUUCAUAACAUAAGUGACUCUGUGUGACAUUCCCUGAGUAG